Molecule: ribosomal RNA, 949 nt
Filed under: Alkalibacillus salilacus
Lineage: Bacteria; Bacillati; Bacillota; Bacilli; Caryophanales; Bacillaceae
Description: bacterial SSU rRNA
Rfam family: Bacterial small subunit ribosomal RNA
Source: RNAcentral
UACGUGCCAGCAGCCGCGGUAAUACGUAGGGGGCAAGCGUUGUCCGGAAUUAUUGGGCGUAAAGCGCGCGCAGGCGGUUCCUUAAGUCUGAUGUGAAAGGCCACAGCUCAACUGUGGAGGGCCAUUGGAAACUGGGGAACUUGAGGACAGAAGAGGAGAGCGGAAUUCCACGUGUAGCGGUGAAAUGCGUAGAUAUGUGGAGGAACACCAGUGGCGAAGGCGGCUCUCUGGUCUGUAACUGACGCUGAGGCGCGAAAGCAUGGGUAGCGAACAGGAUUAGAUACCCUGGUAGUCCAUGCCGUAAACGUUGAGUGCUAGGUGUUAGGGGGUCCAACCCUUAGUGCUGCAGUUAACGCAAUAAGCACUCCGCCUGGGGAGUACGGCCGCAAGGCUGAAACUCAAAGGAAUUGACGGGGGCCUGCACAAGCGGUGGAGCAUGUGGUUUAAUUCGACGCAACGCGAAGAACCUUACCAGGUCUUGACAUCUUCGGACAGCCCAAGAGAUUGGGUCUUCCCUUCGGGGACCGAAUGACAGGUGGUGCAUGGUUGUCGUCAGCUCGUGUCGUGAGAUGUUGGGUUAAGUCCCGUAACGAGCGCAACCCCUGAUCUUAGUUGCCAGCAUUGAGUUGGGCACUCUAGGAUGACUGCCGGUGACAAACCGGAGGAAGGCGGGGAUGACGUCAAAUCAUCAUGCCCCUUAUGACCUGGGCUACACACGUGCUACAAUGGAUGGUACAAAGGGAAGCCAAACCGCGAGGUCGAGCUAAUCCCAUAAAGCCAUUCUCAGUUCGGAUUGUAGGCUGCAACUCGCCUGCAUGAAGCCGGAAUCGCUAGUAAUCGCGGAUCAGAAUGCCGCGGUGAAUACGUUCCCAGGCCUUGUACACACCGCCCGUCACACCACGAGAGUUGGCAACACCCGAAGUCGGUGGGGUAACCUUCACGGAGCCAG